CCUCCAAGGCUAAAUACUCCUGACUGACCGAUAGUGAACCAGUACCGUGAGGGAAAGGCGAAAAGAACCCCGGCGAGGGGAGUGAAAAAGAACCUGAAACCGUGUACGUACAAGCAGUGGGAGCCCCACCACCAAAGCAUUCUCUGGUGUUGAAGGCCCUGCAAAGCAGCAUCGCGGUGGCGGAGCGUCGUUUGCGACGCCCAACACACAAAACAAGCGGUGAGUGCUUUGGGGUGGGGUGACUGCGUACCUUUUGUAUAAUGGGUCAGCGACUUAUAUUCUGUAGCAAGGUUAACCGUAUAGGGGAGCCGUAGGGAAACCGAGUCUUAACCGGGCGUUAAGUUGCAGGGUAUAGACCCGAAACCCGGUGAUCUAGCCAUGGGCAGGUUGAAGGUUGGGUAACACUAACUGGAGGACCGAACCGACUAAUGUUGAAAAAUUAGCGGAUGACUUGUGGCUGGGGGUGAAAGGCCAAUCAAACCGGGAGAUAGCUGGUUCUCCCCGAAAGCUAUUUAGGUAGCGCCUCGUGAAUUCAUCUUCGGGGGUAGAGCACUGUUUCGGCUAGGGGGUCAUCCCGACUUACCAACCCGAUGCAAACUGCGAAUACCGGAGAAUGUUAUCACGGGAGACACACGGCGGGUGCUAACGUCCGUCGUGAAGAGGGAAACAACCCAGACCGCCAGCUAAGGUCCCAAAGUCAUGGUUAAGUGGGAAACGAUGUGGGAAGGCCCAGACAGCCAGGAUGUUGGCUUAGAAGCAGCCAUCAUUUAAAGAAAGCGUAAUAGCUCACUGGUCGAGUCGGCCUGCGCGGAAGAUGUAACGGGGCUAAACCAUGCACCGAAGCUGCGGCAGCGACACUGUGUGUUGUUGGGUAGGGGAGCGUUCUGUAAGCCUGCGAAGGUGGCCUGUGAGGGUUGCUGGAGGUAUCAGAAGUGCGAAUGCUGACAUAAGUAACGAUAAAGCGGGUGAAAAGCCCGCUCGCCGGAAGACCAAGGGUUCCUGUCCAACGUUAAUCGGGGCAGGGUGAGUCGACCCCUAAGGCGAGGCCGAAAGGCGUAGUCGAUGGGAAACAGGUUAAUAUUCCUGUACUUGGUGUUACUGCGAAGGGGGGACGGAGAAGGCUAUGUUGGCCGGGCGACGGUUGUCCCGGUUUAAGCGUGUAGGUGUGUGUUCCAGGUAAAUCCGGUUCACUUUAACACUGAGGCGUGA
RNAcentral lists this ribosomal RNA (1209 nucleotides) under Salmonella enterica. Its description in RNAcentral is "partial 23S ribosomal RNA". It matches the Rfam family "Bacterial large subunit ribosomal RNA", at positions 457 to 1566 of the family's 2925-position model. Lineage: Bacteria; Pseudomonadati; Pseudomonadota; Gammaproteobacteria; Enterobacterales; Enterobacteriaceae. The record is from RNAcentral.